Molecule: ribosomal RNA, 497 nt
Filed under: uncultured bacterium
Lineage: Bacteria
Description: partial 16S ribosomal RNA
Rfam family: Bacterial small subunit ribosomal RNA
Source: RNAcentral
GAUGAACGCUGGCGGCGUGCCUAAUACAUGCAAGUCGAGCGAACGGACGAGAAGCUUGCUUCUCUGAUGAUAGCGGCGGACGGGUGAGUAACACGUGGAUAACCUACCUAUAAGACUGGGAUAACUUCGGGAAACCGGAGCUAAUACCGGAUAAUAUUUUGAACCGCAUGGUUCAAAAGUGAAAGACGGUCUUGCUGUCACUUAUAGAUGGAUCCGCGCUGCAUUAGCUAGUUGGUAAGGUAACGGCUUACCAAGGCAACGAUGCAUAGCCGACCUGAGAGGGUGAUCGGCCACACUGGAACUGAGACACGGUCCAGACUCCUACGGGAGGCAGCAGUAGGGAAUCUUCCGCAAUGGGCGAAAGCCUGACGGAGCAACGCCGCGUGAGUGAUGAAGGUCUUCGGAUCGUAAAACUCUGUUAUUAGGGAAGAACAUAUGUGUAAGUAACUGUGCACAUCUUGACGGUACCUAAUCAGAAAGCCACGGCUAACUACGUG